RNAcentral lists this unclassified non-coding RNA (299 nucleotides) under Hevea brasiliensis (rubber tree). The record is from RNAcentral. Lineage: Eukaryota; Viridiplantae; Streptophyta; Magnoliopsida; Malpighiales; Euphorbiaceae.
AAAUCAGCAACCUGUUGAUUUGAAUCAGAAUUUUCUCCGGUCAAGCUUGUUGCAGGCACUGCCCAGUUCAACUUGCAGUUUCAGCUUCUGGAUUUCGGAAUUCAACUUGAUCAGCAUAAUUGGACAAACUGUCAAGCUGCCUCUGUUGUCUGGAUAGUCUUGUUGCAGGCACUGCCUAGUUUAAUUUGCAAUUCCAACUUUUGGAUUCGGCACGCCAUGAUGGCAGGAUUGAUGCAGUCUUCUCUGUGUCAUUUCCGUGGACAGUCUUUUCAGGGAUGCAGGCAAUGGGAAACUGGGAA